GCAGAUGAAUUACGGUGAAAGCCGUAAGCCGCAAGGCAUCUGUGAAGGUGCUGCAUGGUUGUCGUCAGCUCGUGCCGUGAGGUGUCGGCUUAAGUGCCAUAACGAGCGCAACCCUUGUUGUCAGUUACUAACAGGUCAUGCUGAGGACUCUGACAAGACUGCCAUCGUAAGAUGUGAGGAAGGUGGGGAUGACGUCAAAUCAGCACGGCCCUUACGUCCGGGGCUACACACGUGUUACAAUGGGGGGUACAGAGGGCCGCUACCACGCGAGUGGAUGCCAAUCCCAAAAACCUCUCUCAGCUCGGACUGGAGUCUGCAACCCGACUCCACGAAGCUGGAUUCGCUAGUAAUCGCGCAUCAGCCACGGCGCGGUGAAUACGUUCCCGGGCCUUGUACACACCGCCCGUCAAGCCAUGGGAGCCGGGGGUACCUGAAGUGCGUAACCGCGAGGAGCGCCCUAGGGUAAAACUGGUGACUGGGGCUAAGUCGUAACAAGGUAGCCGUACCGGAAGGU
RNAcentral lists this ribosomal RNA (514 nucleotides) under uncultured bacterium. RNAcentral's name for it is "bacterial SSU rRNA". It matches the Rfam family "Bacterial small subunit ribosomal RNA", at positions 988 to 1513 of the family's 1533-position model. The record is from RNAcentral.